This 253-nucleotide ribosomal RNA is filed under the name uncultured bacterium. Its description in RNAcentral is "partial 16S ribosomal RNA". It matches the Rfam family "Bacterial small subunit ribosomal RNA", at positions 524 to 776 of the family's 1533-position model. The record is from RNAcentral.
UACGAAGGGGGCUAGCGUCGUUCGGAAUUACUGGGCGUAAAGGGCGCGUAGGCGGUGUGUCAAGUCAGGCGUGAAAGCCCCGGGCUCAACCUGGGAACCGCGCUUGAGACUGGCACGCUAGAGUUCGGGAGAGGAUGGUGGAAUUCCCAGUGUAGAGGUGAAAUUCGUAGAUAUUGGGAAGAACACCGGUGGCGAAGGCGGCGAGCUGGUCCAUCACUGACGCUGAGGCGCGACAGCGUGGGGAGCAAACAGG